RNAcentral lists this ribosomal RNA (465 nucleotides) under Vreelandella stevensii. RNAcentral describes it as "partial 16S ribosomal RNA". It matches the Rfam family "Bacterial small subunit ribosomal RNA", at positions 338 to 795 of the family's 1533-position model. The record is from RNAcentral. Lineage: Bacteria; Pseudomonadati; Pseudomonadota; Gammaproteobacteria; Oceanospirillales; Halomonadaceae.
CCUACGGGAGGCAGCAGUGGGGAAUAUUGGACAAUGGGGGGAACCCUGAUCCAGCCAUGCUGCGUGUGUGAAGAAGGCCCUCGGGUUGUAAAGCACUUUCAGUGAGGAAGAACGCCUGGUGGUUAAUACCCAUCAGGAAAGACAUCACUCACAGAAGAAGCACCGGCUAACUCCGUGCCAGCAGCCGCGGUAAUACGGAGGGUGCGAGCGUUAAUCGGAAUUACUGGGCGUAAAGCGCGCGUAGGUGGCUUGAUAAGCCGGUUGUGAAAGCCCCGGGCUCAACCUGGGAACGGCAUCCGGAACUGUCAAGCUAGAGUGCAGGAGAGGAAGGUAGAAUUCCCGGUGUAGCGGUGAAAUGCGUAGAGAUCGGGAGGAAUACCAGUGGCGAAGGCGGCCUUCUGGACUGACACUGACACUGAGGUGCGAAAGCGUGGGUAGCAAACAGGAUUAGAUACCCGAGUAGUC